AGGCUAAAACAGUCAGGAUGUUGGCUUAGAAGCAGCCAUCAUUUAAAGAAAGCGUAAUAGCUCACUGAUCGAGUCGUCCUGCGCGGAAGAUGUAACGGGGCUAAGCCAGUUACCGAAGCUGCGGAUUCACAGUUUACUGUGAGUGGUAGGAGAGCGUUCUGUAAGCCUGCGAAGGUGGCUUGUAAAGGCUGCUGGAGGUAUCAGAAGUGCGAAUGCUGACAUGAGUAGCGUUAAAGGGGGUGAAAAGCCCCCUCGCCGAAAGCGCAAGGUUUCCUACGCAACGUUCAUCGGCGUAGGGUGAGUCGGCCCCUAAGGCGAGGCAGAGAUGCGUAGCUGAUGGGAAACAGGUUAAUAUUCCUGUACCGAUCUAUGGUGCGAUGUGGGGACGGAGAAGGUUAGCUCAGCCAACUGUUGGAAUAGUUGGUUCAAGCAUGUAGGCGUGCUCUUUAGGCAAAUCCGGAGAGCUUAGCUGAGGUGUGAUAACGAGGCUGCUUGCAGCCGAAGUGAGUGAUACCCUGCUUCCAGGAAAAGCCACUAAGCUUCAGCCAUAGAUUGACCGUACCGCAAACCGACACUGGUGCGCGAGAUGAGUAUUCUAAGGCGCUUGAGAGAACUCUGGAGAAGGAACUCGGCAAAUUGACACCGUAACUUCGGAAGAAGGUGUGCCUUUAGUAGGUGAAGCCCCCGCGGGUGGAGCCCAAUGAGGUCGCAGAGAAUCGGUGGCUGCAACUGUUUAAUAAAAACACAGCACUCUGCAAAGACGAAAGUCGACGUAUAGGGUGUGACGCCUGCCCGGUGCUGGAAGAUUAAUUGAUGGGGUGCAAGCUCUUGAUCGAAGUCCCAGUAAACGGCGGCCGUAACUAUAACGGUCCUAAGGUAGCGAAAUUCCUUGUCGGGUAAGUUCCGACCUGCACGAAUGGCGUAAUGAUGGCCACACUGUCUCCUCCAGAGACUCAGCGAAGUUGAAAUGUUUGUGAUGAUGCAAUCUCCCCGCGGAAAGACGGAAAGACCCCAUGAACCUUUACUGUAGCUUUACAUUGGACUUUGAACAGAUCUGUGUAGGAUAGGUGGGAGGCUUUGAAGCCAGGACGCUAGUUCUGGUGGAGCCGACGUUGAAAUACCACCCUGGUGUGUUUGAGGUUCUAACCU
RNAcentral lists this ribosomal RNA (1149 nucleotides) under freshwater metagenome. RNAcentral describes it as "bacterial LSU rRNA". It matches the Rfam family "Bacterial large subunit ribosomal RNA", at positions 1081 to 2228 of the family's 2925-position model. The record is from RNAcentral.